CGUGUAGUACUAACAGGAUCCCUCAGUAACGGCGAGUGAACAGGGAAAAGCCCAGCGCCGAAGCCUGUGGCCAUUUGGUUACUAGGCAAUGUGGUGUUUAGGUCGUCUCUUGGAGAUGUUGCCUCACCCCAAGUCCAGCAAUGAGUAUGGUUAUUCUGACUUGGCCCAGAGAGGGUGAAAGGCCCGUGGGGGUGAGGUUCAUGCAUGAUAAUGUCUCCCUGGGUAGACCUUGGAGUCGGGUUGUUUGUGAUUGCAGCCCAAAGUGGGUGGUAAACUCCAUCCAAGGCUAAAUACUUGCACGAGUCCGAUAGCGAACAAGUACCGUGAGGGAAAGUUGAAAAGUACUCUGAAGAGAUGUUAAAUUCAUCCGGUAGGUA
Molecule: ribosomal RNA, 377 nt
Filed under: Pseudodiploscoides murtyi
Lineage: Eukaryota; Metazoa; Platyhelminthes; Trematoda; Plagiorchiida; Diplodiscidae
Description: partial 28S ribosomal RNA
Rfam family: Eukaryotic large subunit ribosomal RNA
Source: RNAcentral